RNAcentral lists this ribosomal RNA (467 nucleotides) under uncultured bacterium. RNAcentral describes it as "bacterial SSU rRNA". It matches the Rfam family "Bacterial small subunit ribosomal RNA", at positions 28 to 507 of the family's 1533-position model. The record is from RNAcentral.
GACGAACGCUGGCGGCGCACCUAACACAUGCAAGUCGAACGAGCGAGAGAGAGCUUGCUUUCUCGAGCGAGUGGCGAACGGGUGAGUAACGCGUGAGGAACCUGCCUCAAAGAGGGGGACAACAGUUGGAAACGACUGCUAAUACCGCAUAAGCCCAACGGGUCGGCAUCGACCAGAGGGAAAAGGAGCAAUCCACUUUGAGAUGGCCUCGCGUCCGAUUAGCUAGUUGGUGAGGUAACGGCCCACCAAGGCAACGAUCGGUAGCCGGACUGAGAGGUUGAACGGCCACAUUGGGACUGAGACACGGCCCAGACUCCUACGGGAGGCAGCAGUGGGGAAUAUUGCACAAUGGGGGAAACCCUGAUGCAGCGACGCCGCGUGGAGGAAGAAGGUCUUCGGAUUGUAAACUCCUGUUGUUGAGGAAGAUAAUGACGGUACUCAACAAGGAAGUGACGGCUAACUACGUG